This 397-nucleotide ribosomal RNA is filed under the name Treponema sp. RNAcentral's name for it is "bacterial SSU rRNA". It matches the Rfam family "Bacterial small subunit ribosomal RNA", at positions 1 to 395 of the family's 1533-position model. Lineage: Bacteria; Pseudomonadati; Spirochaetota; Spirochaetia; Treponematales; Treponemataceae. The record is from RNAcentral.
AUCAUGGAGAGUUUGAUCCUGGCUCAGAACGAACGCUGGCGGCGCGUCUUAAGCAUGCAAGUCGAGCGGCAAGGGGGAGCAAUCCCUCCUAGAGCGGCGGACUGGUGAGUAACGCGUGGGUGACCUACUUUCAGGACUGGGAUAGCCAUUAGAAAUAGUGGGUAAUACCGGAUGUGGUUAUGGGACUAUGGUUUCAUAAAGAAAGGGGCUUUGGCCCCGCCUGGGGAUGGGCUUGCGUCCCAUUAGGUAGUUGGUGAGGUAAAGGCCCACCAAGCCUGAGAUGGGUAGCCGGCCUGAGAGGGUGGACGGCCACACUGGGACUGAGAUACGGCCCAGACUCCUACGGGAGGCAGCAGCUAAGAAUAUUCCGCAAUGGGCGAAAGCCUGACGGAGCGAC